Molecule: ribosomal RNA, 460 nt
Filed under: uncultured bacterium
Lineage: Bacteria
Description: partial 16S ribosomal RNA
Rfam family: Bacterial small subunit ribosomal RNA
Source: RNAcentral
CCUACGGGUGGCAGCAGUGAGGAAUAUUGGUCAAUGGACGAGAGUCUGAACCAGCCAAGUAGCGUGAAGGAUGACUGCCCUAUGGGUUGUAAACUUCUUUUAUAUGGGAAUAAAAUGUUCCACGUGUGGGAUUUUGUAUGUACCAUAUGAAUAAGGAUCGGCUAACUCCGUGCCAGCAGCCGCGGUAAUACGGAGGAUCCGAGCGUUAUCCGGAUUUAUUGGGUUUAAAGGGAGCGUAGGUGGAUUGUUAAGUCAGUUGUGAAAGUUUGCGGCUCAACCAUAAAAUUGCAGUUGAAACUGGCAGUCUUGAGUACAGUAGAGGUGGGCGGAAUUCGUGGUGUAGCGGUGAAAUGCUUAGAUAUCACGAAGAACUCCGAUUGCGAAGGCAGUUCACUGGACUGCAACUGACACUGAGGCUCGAAAGUGUGGGUAUCAAACAGGAUUAGAUACCCGUGUAGUC